CCUACGGGAGGCUGCAGUGAGGAAUAUUGGUCAAUGGGCGGGAGCCUGAACCAGCCAAGCCGCGUGAGGGAAGAAGGUACAGCGUAUCGUAAACCUCUUUUGUCAGGGAACAAAGGCGGGGACUAGUCCCCGGAUGAGGGUACCUGAAGAAAAAGCAUCGGCUAACUCCGUGCCAGCAGCCGCGGUACUACGGAGGAUGCGAGGGUUAUCCGGAUUUAUUGGGUUAAAAGGGUGCGCAGGCGGCCUGUUAAGUCAGCGGGAAAAGCCCGGGGCUCAACCCCGGCGGGCCGUUGAACCUGGCGGGCUGGAGUUGGAGAGAAGUACGCGGAAUGCGCGGUGUAGCGGUGAAAUGCUUAGAUAUCGCGCAGAACCCCGAUGGCGAAGGCAGCGUACCGGCUCCACACUGACGCUGAGGCACGAAAGCGUGGGUAUCGAACAGGAUUAGAUACCCCUGUAGUC
This 459-nucleotide ribosomal RNA is filed under the name uncultured bacterium. Its description in RNAcentral is "partial 16S ribosomal RNA". It matches the Rfam family "Bacterial small subunit ribosomal RNA", at positions 338 to 795 of the family's 1533-position model. The record is from RNAcentral.